Molecule: ribosomal RNA, 492 nt
Filed under: uncultured bacterium
Lineage: Bacteria
Description: partial 16S ribosomal RNA
Rfam family: Bacterial small subunit ribosomal RNA
Source: RNAcentral
AGUGAACGCUGGCGGUAGGCCUAACACAUGCAAGUCGAACGGCAGCACAGUAAGAGCUUGCUCUUACGGGUGGCGAGUGGCGGACGGGUGAGGAAUACAUCGGAAUCUACUUUUUCGUGGGAGAUCACGUAGUGAAACUUACGCUAAUACCGCAUACCACCUACGGUUGAAAGCAGGGGAUCUUCGGACCUUGCGCGAUUGAAUGCGCCGAUGUCGGAUUAGCUAGUUGGCGGGGUAAAUGCCCACCAAGGCGCCGAUCCGUAGCUGGUCUUAGAGGAUGAUCAGCCACACUGGAACUGAGACACGGUCCAGACUCCUACGGGAGGCAGCAGUGGGGAAUAUUGGACAAUGGGCGCAAGCCUGAUCCAGCCAUACCGCGUGGGUGAAGAAGGCCUUCGGGUUGUAAAGCCCUUUUGUUGGGAAAGAAAAGCAGCAGGUUAAUACCCCGCUGUUCUGACGGUACCCAAAGAAUAAGCACCGGCUAACUUCGUG